UGGGGGAUAUUGCACAAUGGGCGAAAGCCUGAUGCAGCGACGCCGCGUGGGGGAUGAAGGCUUUCGGGUUGUAAACCUCUUUCGCUAUCGAACAAGGCCCGCUUAGGGUGGGUUGAGGGUAGGUGGAGAAGAAGCGCCGGCUAACUACGUGCCAGCAGCCGCGGUAAUACGUAGGGCGCGAGCGUUGUCCGGAAUUAUUGGGCGUAAAGGGCUUGUAGGCGGCUUGUUGCGCCUGCUGUGAAAACGCGGGGCUUAACUUCGCGCGUGAAGUGGGUACGGGCAGGCUUGAGUGUGGUAGGGGUGACUGGAAUUCCAGGUGUAGCGGUGGAAUGCGCAGAUAUCUGGAGGAACACCGAUGGCGAAGGCAGGUCACUGGGCCAUUACUGACGCUGAGGAGCGAAAGCAUGGGUAGCGAACAGG
RNAcentral lists this ribosomal RNA (420 nucleotides) under bacterium. RNAcentral's name for it is "partial 16S ribosomal RNA". It matches the Rfam family "Bacterial small subunit ribosomal RNA", at positions 355 to 776 of the family's 1533-position model. The record is from RNAcentral.